Molecule: ribosomal RNA, 478 nt
Filed under: uncultured bacterium
Lineage: Bacteria
Description: partial 16S ribosomal RNA
Rfam family: Bacterial small subunit ribosomal RNA
Source: RNAcentral
GAUGAACGCUGGCGGCGUGCUUAACACAUGCAAGUCGAACGAGAAGUGAAGACGGAAACCUUCGGGCGGAAGGCUUUAUUUCGAGUGGCGGACGGGUGAGUAACGCGUGGGUAACCUGCCUCAUACAGGGGGAUAACAGUUGGAAACGACUGUUAAUACCGCAUAAGACCACAGCACCGCAUGGUGCGGGGGUAAAAACUCCGGUGGUAUGAGAUGGACCCGCGUUCGAUUAGCCAGUUGGCGGGGUAACGGCCCACCAAAGCGACGAUCGAUAGCCGAUCUGAGAGGAUGACCGGCCACAUUGGGACUGAGACACGGCCCAAACUCCUACGGGAGACAGCAGUGGGGAAUAUUGCACAAUGGGGGAAACCCUGAUGCAGCGACGCCGCGUGAGUGAAGAAGUAUUUCGGUAUGUAAAGCUCUAUCAGCAGGGAAGAAAAUGACGGUACCUGAGUAAGAAGCCCCGGCUAACUACGUG